GACGAACGCUGGCGGCGUGCUUAACACAUGCAAGUCGAACGGUAAGGCCCCAGCUUGCUGGGGUACACGAGUGGCGAACGGGUGAGUAACACGUGGGUGACCUGCCCCGCACUUCGGGAUAAGCCUGGGAAACUGGGUCUAAUACCGGAUAGGACCGCACCGUGAGGGUGUGGUGGAAAGUUUUUCGGUGUGGGAUGGGCCCGCGGCCUAUCAGCUUGUUGGUGGGGUAAUGGCCUACCAAGGCGGCGACGGGUAGCCGGCCUGAGAGGGUGGACGGCCACAUUGGGACUGAGACACGGCCCAGACUCCUACGGGAGGCAGCAGUGGGGAAUAUUGCACAAUGGGCGGAAGCCUGAUGCAGCGACGCCGCGUGGGGGAUGACGGCCUUCGGGUUGUAAACUCCAUUCACCAUCGACGAAGGUUUUCUGACGGUAGAUGGAGAAGAAGCACCGGCUAACUACGUG
RNAcentral lists this ribosomal RNA (464 nucleotides) under uncultured bacterium. Its description in RNAcentral is "partial 16S ribosomal RNA". It matches the Rfam family "Bacterial small subunit ribosomal RNA", at positions 28 to 507 of the family's 1533-position model. The record is from RNAcentral.